AUUGAACGCUGGCGGAAUGCUUUACACAUGCGAGUCGAACGGCAGCACGGACUUCGGUCUGGUGGCGAGUGGCGAACGGGUGAGUAAUGUAUCGGAACGUGCCCAGUCGUGGGGGAUAACGUAGUGAAAAUUACGCUAAUACCGCAUACGAUCUAUGGAUGAAAGCGGGGGAUCGCAAGACCUCGCGCGAUUGGAGCGGCCGAUAUCAGAUUAGGUAGUUGGUGGGGUAAAGGCCCACCAAGCCAACGAUCUGUAGCUGGUCUGAGAGGACGACCAGCCACACUGGAACUGAGACACGGUCCAGGCUCCUACGGGAGGCAGCAGUGGGGAAUUUUGGACAAUGGGCGAAAGCCUGAUCCAGCCAUUCCGCGUGCAGGAUGAAGGCCCUCGGGUUGUAAGCUGCUUUUGUACAGAACGAAAAGGUUUCUACUAAUACUAGGGGCUCAUGACGGUACUGUAAGAAUAAGCACCGGCUAACUACGUGCCAGCAGCCGCAGUAA
RNAcentral lists this ribosomal RNA (500 nucleotides) under uncultured bacterium. Its description in RNAcentral is "partial 16S ribosomal RNA". It matches the Rfam family "Bacterial small subunit ribosomal RNA", at positions 30 to 523 of the family's 1533-position model. The record is from RNAcentral.